Molecule: transfer RNA, 72 nt
Filed under: Amnirana galamensis (Galam white-lipped frog)
Lineage: Eukaryota; Metazoa; Chordata; Amphibia; Anura; Ranidae
Description: tRNA-Val
Rfam family: tRNA
About the family: Transfer RNA (tRNA) molecules are approximately 80 nucleotides in length. Their secondary structure includes four short double-helical elements and three loops (D, anti-codon, and T loops).
Source: RNAcentral
CAAAAUGUAGCUUAACUAGUAAAGCUCCCCGCUUACACCGGGACGAUAUCUGUGUGACACAGAUCAUUUUGA